Long non-coding RNA from Liolophura sinensis, 1999 nucleotides. RefSeq lists it as uncharacterized. The transcript is spliced from 2 exons. The record is from RefSeq and is a predicted model, not a curated record. Lineage: Eukaryota; Metazoa; Mollusca; Polyplacophora; Chitonida; Chitonidae.
CUCUGCUGAUCUCAAAACGAAGGCCGUAAGCCUGCUGACUCCGUCCAAUGAUAUCUUCCAAGAGAUCAACGUGUCAGGGGAUAGCAUCACGUUAAAGUCCGUCACACCGUUGUGGACUCGUGAACACACCGCAAAGUUUGGGGAAGCUUUCAAUGAACCUGACUUGGAAGGAAAAGGUGAACUGACGAUUGUAAUCAAUCAGGAAGGUGAUAAGCUCACAGAACAGCAGACUGGAAAGUACACAUCCAACAACGUCAGGGAGAUUGCCGGAGGGAAUCUCGUCUACGUCAGUAUUCACUUGAUUUGACGGUGUUCUUUUUGUGCCUCGAAAAAGUACGUGUAUCAUCCCCAAAACUCGAAGCACGUAAAGAUCGACGUCGAGUUUAUAUGUGGCCUUAAGACGUAAAAAGGCGAGCGACAAAGUCUAGGUCGGGUUUUGAAUCGCGGCCUCGAGAUUUGGGGGUGAUAACAAUGCUUUUAAAUGGCACAUAAUACGCUGUUGUUAGCGAAGUAGGGUUCAGAAUGGACCCGUGCCUUGUGCUAAGAGUUGGUGUGUGGGGAAUCGUAUUUACGGGGCUACGGGAUAAUGUCCCUUCCCUGAAGUACCAUAAAGCUUAUUCUGGAUUCCUUUCCAGUCAUACGUGUGAAGGCCUGCAGCAACUUGCGGAUGGCCGUGGGUUUCCUCCGGUCUCUGUUCGGCUGCGUUCAACAAUAACGCUGGCCGCCGUCGUAUGUGAAACAUUUUUUAGUUUGGCGUAAAACGUCAAUAAAAGAAAUAAAGGAAUAUAAAAAUGGCAUUGAGGACGCGCUGAUAUAAAGAGCUGGAAAAACCAUUUUAUUCCCCCCCCCCUCCUCCGGUUGAGAGUUGAAUAGAUCCGUUGGCACCUUCUCUUUGGUUACCUGAUCUUGCAAGCAGGAUUUCUGUAAAACUUACUUUUUUCAUUUUCAUCACCAUACUUAUAAUCAGGUUAAAUUUAGACUUUUCAUUUUUUUAUUGGAUAUUACUGAUUUUGUAAUAAAGACAAAUGUAAAUACAACUCAAUGUUUCUGAUCUGUGUUCCAGACUUUAAAAGCCAAUGGUGUGUCAUGCGUGAGGACCUAUCAGCGGGUAUAAUUCUUGGAAUCGGGGGGUGGAUUCGCCCUCUGUAUUAUUGUAUUACCGGUGAAUUCGUGAAUCUGUAACACCAGCAGGAUUACCACUACACGCCGAUUCCAAGCUGUACUCUAUUGUUUGCUUCUCUUUCGCUUCAGCUGUCGUAUACACACACUUGCAUGUAAACUUAACCGUUAUCCCAUAGCAGAGUGAAGCCAGAUGUUACAUACAGGCUUGCUUCAAUCAGAUUCAGGGCUUUCCUCAGUAACGAUUCAGCACAAAAUAGAAGACAACAGUUGAUUUGGUUAGUGUGUACCGUUGUUUAUUCCUUAACAAGCUGGUGUAUAUAAGCUGAACUGUUCCAUACAAUCGGACUGAAUGUAAAUCUGAAGGCUUUGAAAGUAACUGGCGGUAAAUUACAACCUUGGCUUCCAAAAUAUCAUUUGUAAUGAAAGCAUUGCUCGGGGCAAACAAAAAAGGCAAAAUUAUUUUUAGACGUUGCUCCCCAGUCGUUAAGCAUUCUUCAAAGCAAAGUAAAAUGUGCGUGAAAUAAAUUUGUUCUGACCAACUGCUGGUUUAUAGGUUCAAUAUGUUUCAGGUAUUUCAGGUAAAAACAAAGCCAAAAAAUUUCAGUAAACUGAGUUUGAGUUGUGCAAAGCAAUCGCUGAUCAUUCAACGUCGCUCCACAAAUGACAAGGAGUGGAUUAAGCCGAUAGGCAGUGUAUUAGCUGGGAUUAGUUUUAUCAUAUGAAAAUAAACGACAGGAAACAUUUGGAGUGCUUUAUUUCCAGAAGCAUAUAGCAAUUAUAAUUGUAGCAACGAAGCUGAGCCAUGGAUUUAUGUUUGUCAGCAAGAACUGUGUGCAUCUUCUGUGUGUUACUGCAAAUAAAGUAAAAUAUGUUCAAA